UGCCCUGGCUCUGCAGCAGUGA
This 22-nucleotide unclassified non-coding RNA is filed under the name Mus musculus (house mouse). RNAcentral describes it as "oocyte_clustered_small_RNA6871". Lineage: Eukaryota; Metazoa; Chordata; Mammalia; Rodentia; Muridae. The record is from RNAcentral.